GUGGUGGUGGUGGUGGUGGUGGUGGUGGUGGUUGGGGUGGUGGUGGUGGAAGUGACACCAGUGGAGGUGGUUUCAGUGGUGGGAGAUGGAGAAGACAUUAAUCCAGACGUGGUGGAGGCCGUUGUGGUCACAGGUGUGGAGGUGAGGCCUGUGGAGGUGCCUGGAGUUGUACUGGAGGCUGUGGUGGUCUCAGAUGACGUGGUGGAGGACAAUGUGGAGGUCAUGAGUGUUGUAGUGAGGCCUGUGGAGGUCCCUGGAGUGGUUGAGGAGGCCGUGGAGGUCACGGAAGAGGUUGUGGAGGCCACAGAGGAGGUCCCCAAAGUGGAGGUAAGGCCUGUGGAUGUUGCUGGAGUUGUGCUGGAGACGGUGGAGGUCUCAGCUGAGGUCAUGGAGGAUGAUGUGGUGGUCACUGGUGUGGUUGAGGAGACUGUGGAGGUCUCGGAGGAGGUGGUAGAGGCUGUUGUGGAGGACACAGCUGAGGAUGUGAGGCCAGUGGAGGUGCCGGGAGUUGUACUGGAGGACGUGGAGGUCUCAGCUGAGGUGGUGGAGGCCACGGUGGAGGUCAAAGGAGUGGAGGUGAGGCCUGAGGAGGUCCCUGGAGUGGUUGAGGAGGCCAUGGAAGUCUCAGCUGAAGUGGUGGAGGCCACACUUGUGGUCAAAAGAGUGGAGGAAGCAGUGGAGGUCUCUGAGGAGGUGGUGGAGGCCACUGUUGAGGUCACAGCUGUGGAGGUGAGGGCUGUGGAGGUCAAUGGUGUGGUUGAGGAGGCCGUGGAGGUUUCAGAGGAUGUGGUGGAGUCUGUGGAGGUCUCCUGGGAGGUGGUGGAGGUUAUUGUGGAGGUCACUGGAGUGGUGGUGAGGCCUGUGGUGGUCCCUGGAGCUGUACUGGAGGCCGUGGAGGUCUCAGCUGAGGUGUUGGAGGCUGCUGUGGAGGUCUCGGGGGUUGUAGUGAGUUUUGUGGAGGUCCCAGGAGUGGUUGAGUAGAAAGUGGAGGUCUCUGAGGAGGAGGUGGAUGCCGUGGUAGAGGUCCCUGGAGUGGAGGUGAGACCUGUGGAGGUUCCUGGAGCUGUACUGGAGGCUGUGGUGGUCUCAGCUGAUGUGGUGGAGGCCACAGUGGAGGUCAUGGAGGUUGUACUGAGUCCUGUGGAGGUUCCUGGAGUGGUUGAGGACACAGUGGAGUUCUCUGAGGAGGUGGUGGAGGCCGUGGUAGUGGACGCUGGAGUAGAGGUCAGGCCUGUGGAGGUUCCUGCUGUUGUACUGGAAGCGGUGGAGGUCUCAACUGAGGUGGUGGAGGCUGCUGUGGAGGUCACGACGGUUGAUGUGAGUCCUGUGGAGGUCCCUGGAGUGGUUGAGGAGGCUGUGGAGGUCUCUUGGGAGGUGGUGGAGGCCGUGGUAGUGGACGCUGGAGUAGAGGUCAGGCCUGUGGAGGUUCCUGCUGUUGUACUGGAAGCGGUGGAGGUCUCAACUGAGGUGGUGGAGGCCACAGUGGAGGUCCCCAAAGUGGAGGUGAGGCCUGUGGAUGUUGCUGGAGUUGUGCUGGAGACAGUGGAGGUCUCACCAGAGGUUGUGGAGGAUGAUGUGGAGGUCACCAGAGUGGAGGUGAGGCCUGUGGUGGUCCCUGGAGUUGUACUGGAGGCUGUGGAGGUCUCAGCUGAGGUGUUGGAGGCUGCUGUGGAGGUCACGGGGGUUGUAGUGAGUCUUGUGGAGGUCCCAGCAGUUGUUGAGUAGAAAGUGGAGGUCUCUGAGGUGGUUGUGGAGGCUGUGGUAGAGGUCC
Molecule: long non-coding RNA, 1771 nt
Filed under: Anas zonorhyncha (Eastern spot-billed duck)
Lineage: Eukaryota; Metazoa; Chordata; Aves; Anseriformes; Anatidae
Description: lncRNA (ENSAZOG00000016567.1)
Source: RNAcentral